AGAACGAACGCUGGCGGCAUGCCUAAUACAUGCAAGUCGAACGAACACUUCGGUGUUAGUGGCGCACGGGUGCGUAACGCGUGGGAAUCUGCCCUUGGGUUCGGAAUAACAGUUGGAAACGACUGCUAAUACCGGAUGAUAUCGAAAGAUCAAAGAUUUAUCGCCCAGGGAUGAGCCCGCGUAGGAUUAGCUAGUUGGUGAGGUAAAGGCUCACCAAGGCGACGAUCCUUAGCUGGUCUGAGAGGAUGAUCGGCCACACUGGGACUGAGACACGGCCCAGACUCCUACGGGAGCAGCAGUAGGGAAUAUUGGACAAUGGGCGCAAGCCUGAUCCAGCAAUGCCGCGUGAGUGAUGAAGGCCUUAGGGUUGUAAAGCUCUUUUACCCGAGAUGAUAAUGACAGUAUCGGAGAAUAAGCCCCGCUAACUCCGUGCCAGCAGCCGC
Molecule: ribosomal RNA, 443 nt
Filed under: uncultured soil bacterium
Lineage: Bacteria
Description: bacterial SSU rRNA
Rfam family: Bacterial small subunit ribosomal RNA
Source: RNAcentral